CUGUCAGGAGGUUAAUCCUUACCUGUUCCUCCUCUAGGAGGGCAGAUAGAAAAUGAUGAUCUGAGCACACAUGAUCUGCUGAUUUCUUUGUUUUUUGAUAGCUGAG
Molecule: small nucleolar RNA, 106 nt
Organism: Psammomys obesus (fat sand rat)
Lineage: Eukaryota; Metazoa; Chordata; Mammalia; Rodentia; Muridae
Product: U8 small nucleolar RNA
Exons: 1
Source: RefSeq, a predicted model, not a curated record